AUUUCCGGUUCUGAGGACGCCGCGGAAGCGGGACGGGAUUGGAGUGCUCUGCUCCGGACGCACUACGUAGGAUAUGAUAUUCACUUUCAUGACAAGAAAAUCCUGUUACUCGAAGCAGGUCCAAAGAAAGUAUUGGAGAAAUUGUCAGAAACUUACAGCAACAGGGUCAGCUCCAUUUCCCCUGGCUCUGCAACGCUUCUCAGUAGUGUGGGACGCCUGCUCAGAGGCCCUGAUAAUGUUUGAUAAGGAUAAUUUAGAUGAUAUGGGCUAUAUCGUGGAGAAUGAUGUCAUCAUGCAUGCUCUCACUAAGCAGCUGGAGGCUGUGUCUGACCGAGUGACGGUUCUCUACAGGAGCAAAGCCAUUCGCUAUACCUGGCCUUGUCCAUUUCCUAUGGCCGACUCCAGCCCUUGGGUUCAUAUUACCCUAGGUGAUGGCAGCACCUUCCAGACCAAAUUGUUGGUAGUUGAAGAUUCUUAUUUUGCUAGGGGUCCUGUAUAUCUACAUCUUAUCCUAGAUUCUAGGGACUCUGGUUUUAGAUUUAAGCUAUAGUUUAAUUUUAGGCAAAGCUUUUGGUUAUGAGGACCAGUACCCAUUCAGGCCAGCUCAAGUGGAGAUGGUCUCGUCGUAAAUCCUGUACAGGGAGCAAUCUCAUGGGCCGUCUUAGGUUGUGAAAUAACAGAUAGCUGGGCCUCACAGGACAGGCACCAGAGUGUCGGGAAUGGAGGCUGUUCUUUCCCUCUUAGGAGUCUGGUCAUUGAUCUCUUGCCUCUCAUUUUUCUCCUUUCUGCUCACAAGCUUCCCUUUUUGCAUGGCAGCCAUUCCUAACCCUACAUCAGAACUAUUCAGCUCCAGUGCGUGCCCCAUACUGAAACUUUCCUUAUUGCUCUCUAGUUCAAAUAUCAGGAGGGCCUGGCUGAGUUUAACUCAUGGCUGGCACCUUUUCAGUCAUGUCCAGCUUUGGCUCUGUUGGCUGUGGCUGAUGUGACACAGUGCAGGGGCUCCACCUCUAGGGGCUGUGAGUGAAGCAGGCCUGAUGGAAUUAUCCUGCCACACAACAAUCAGAGCUGGAGGAAGCUUUAGGGGGCAGAGAAAAACUUCUGAAGCAGUUUAUGAAGAGGCUGUAAGACUUAGCAGGCUCAUGUGUCCAUGCAGAUAGGUGCAGAUGGUCACAACUCCGGAGUACGGCAGGCUGCUGGAAUCCAGAAUGUGAGCUGGAACUAUGACCAGUCUGCUGUUGUGGCUACUCUGCAUUUAUCAGAGGCCACAGAAAACAAUGUAGCCUGGCAGAGAUUUCUUCCCUCUGGGCCUAUUGCUCUGCUCCCGGUAAGAGGUCCUUCUGGCCAGUCUGCCCACAUGCAUGCAGCCUUUCCUCUUCACUUUCUCUCAGCCUUUUUCUGAUUUCAAGGGAAUCUGCCCAGGCUGGUUUUGUAAGUUCCCUUCUUGUCUUUUUAUGCU
This 1456-nucleotide small RNA is filed under the name Pongo abelii (Sumatran orangutan). Its description in RNAcentral is "retained intron". Lineage: Eukaryota; Metazoa; Chordata; Mammalia; Primates; Hominidae. The record is from RNAcentral.